Molecule: small nucleolar RNA, 121 nt
Organism: Oryza sativa Japonica Group (Japanese rice)
Lineage: Eukaryota; Viridiplantae; Streptophyta; Magnoliopsida; Poales; Poaceae
Source: Rfam
GAGCAAAGGGGCCGGAUAAAGUGCCGAUCUUUGCAUUGAAGGUUGGCGGCCGCGAUUGCAGUUCUCCAUGCCGCUCAGAUUUUCCUAUGUUUUGUGACGGCCUCGAACAAGCUGCUACAUC